GCAGGCACUGUCGGGAUGGACAUCUUCAGAAAGCAUAUGCAAGUUGUCCUCAGUAUGACCAAUACAAGACGCCUGCAAGAAGAUUCCAUUCCAAGCUGUUAAAGUGCUGCAGUCAAUAAAGACCUGGAGUAUGAGUCUACCUCUGUGCACCACACAGCUGUUGUCAUGCAAGCUAUUUCAAAUACCACUCUGGCAGACAAAGCUCUAAUUUGAGAGAAACACCAGAUAGUUCCACCUAAUAUAAUGAAAUCAGCAGGACUCAAGGCUCUUCACAGUCUCCUCAUUUGCUCUGCUAACAAAGGUUUUGCUGUUGUUCAGGAAGCACUCAUAUUCCCCCAGAAUGUGUUGAGUUCUUUGCUGGGCACGAGGGAUGCGAAGAGAAAAAGCCUGUGAAGACACAGAAGACAGUCAUCUGCAAACCAAAGAAAGAGGCCUCAGGAGAAACCAAACCUGCCAACACCUUGAUCUUGGACUUUCAGCAUCCAGGACUCUGAGAAAAUAAAUUUCUGUUGUUUAAGUCA
This is a long non-coding RNA of Homo sapiens (human), 521 nucleotides long. NCBI's taxonomy places the organism in Eukaryota, Metazoa, Chordata, Mammalia, Primates, Hominidae. The record is from Ensembl.